UACGUAGGUGGCAAGCGUUGUCCGGAAUUACUGGGCGUAAAGGGCGCGUAGGCGGCCUGUUAAGUCGAACGUGAAAUCCCCGGGCUCAACCCGGGAACUGCGUCCGAUACUGGCAGGCUUGAAUCCGGGAGAGGGAUGUGGAAUUCCAGGUGUAGCGGUGAAAUGCGUAGAUAUCUGGAGGAACACCGGUGGCGAAGGCGGCAUCCUGGACCGAGAUUGACGCUGAGGCGCGAAAGCCAGGGGAGCAAACGGG
Molecule: ribosomal RNA, 253 nt
Filed under: uncultured bacterium
Lineage: Bacteria
Description: partial 16S ribosomal RNA
Rfam family: Bacterial small subunit ribosomal RNA
Source: RNAcentral